GAUGAAGAACGUAGCGAAAUGCGAUAAGUAAUGUGAAUUGCAGAAUUCAGUGAAUCAUCGAAUCUUUGAACGCACAUUGCGCCCCCUGGUAUUCCGGGGGGCAUGCCUGUUCGAGCGUCAUUUCACCACUCAAGCCUCGCUUGAUAUUGGGCAACGCGGUCCGCCGCGUGCCUCAAAUCGACCGGCUGGGUCUUCUGUCCCCUAAGCGUUGUGGAAACUAUUCGCUAAAGGGUGUUCGGGAGGCUACGCCGUAAAACAACCCCAUUUCUAAGGUUGACCUCGGAUCAGGUAGGGAUACCCGCUGAACUUAAGCAUAUCAAUAAGCGGAGGA
This 331-nucleotide unclassified non-coding RNA is filed under the name soil metagenome. Its description in RNAcentral is "partial contains 5.8S ribosomal RNA, internal transcribed spacer 2, and large subunit ribosomal RNA". The stretch from base 1 to 120 matches the Rfam family "5.8S ribosomal RNA", at positions 35 to 154 of the family's 154-position model. The record is from RNAcentral.